Molecule: unclassified non-coding RNA, 401 nt
Filed under: uncultured Inocybe
Lineage: Eukaryota; Fungi; Basidiomycota; Agaricomycetes; Agaricales; Cortinariaceae
Description: sequence contains ITS2
Rfam family: 5.8S ribosomal RNA (bases 1-154)
Source: RNAcentral
AACUUAUAGCAAUGGAUCUCUUGGUUCUCGCAUCGAUGAAGAACGCAGCGAAAUGCGAUAAGUAAUGUGAAUUGCAGAAUUCAGUGAAUCAUCGAAUCUUUGAACGCAACUUGCGCUCCUUGGUACUCUGAGGAGCAUGCCUGUUUGAGUGUCAUUAAACUUCUUCUCAACCCAUCCAGUUUCUCUGUGUGUGGGCUUUGGAAAAUUGGGGGCUUGCUGGUUACUAUUUGUCCAGCUCUCCUGAAAAGCAUUAGCGGCAUCUGGGCUGCUUGCAGGUGUGAUAACUUGUCUACACCUUUGCAGUGGCUGCAUUUGUGCUGCUUUAGAGGGCAUUGAUGAAAUUUGACCUCAAAUCAGGUAGGACUACCCGCUGAACUUAAGCAUAUCAAUAAGCGGAGGCU